Molecule: ribosomal RNA, 465 nt
Filed under: Vreelandella stevensii
Lineage: Bacteria; Pseudomonadati; Pseudomonadota; Gammaproteobacteria; Oceanospirillales; Halomonadaceae
Description: partial 16S ribosomal RNA
Rfam family: Bacterial small subunit ribosomal RNA
Source: RNAcentral
CCUACGGGUGGCUGCAGUGGGGAAUAUUGGACAAUGGGGGCAACCCUGAUCCAGCCAUGCCGCGUGUGUGAAGAAGGCCCUCGGGUUGUAAAGCACUUUCAGUGAGGAAGAACGCCUGGUGGUUAAUACCCAUCAGGAAAGACAUCACUCACAGAAGAAGCACCGGCUAACUCCGUGCCAGCAGCCGCGGUAAUACGGAGGGUGCGAGCGUUAAUCGGAAUUACUGGGCGUAAAGCGCGCGUAGGUGGCUUGAUAAGCCGGUUGAGAAAGCCCCGGGCUCAACCUGGGAACGGCAUCCGGAACUGUCAAGCUAGAGUGCAGGAGAGGAAGGUAGAAUUCCCGGUGUAGCGGUGAAAUGCGUAGAGAUCGGGAGGAAUACCAGUGGCGAAGGCGGCCUUCUGGACUGACACUGACACUGAGGUGCGAAAGCGUGGGUAGCAAACAGGAUUAGAUACCCCGGUAGUC